Long non-coding RNA from Telopea speciosissima, 563 nucleotides. RefSeq lists it as uncharacterized. The record is from RefSeq and is a predicted model, not a curated record. NCBI's taxonomy places the organism in Eukaryota, Viridiplantae, Streptophyta, Magnoliopsida, Proteales, Proteaceae. The transcript has 2 exons.
AUCCACCCUGCAGUUCUGCACCUUAUGGUUAAAAGUUCAUGUGCUGCAUUUUGUCUGAAUAUUGGGCUGGGACGUAGUGGAAACUAUACUCAGUAUCUGGUCUUGGUUUUGCUUUUUCACUUUCCCUUGAAAAUUGGAAAAAGUAGUAAAUCUCAACUUACCAGAGUAGAAUAGCUUAAUGUUAUGUAAUCCUUUAUAUUUGGUUCGCAAUUUGACCUCUUUCUUGUUGCAGAGUUUUGCAUGCCAUUCCUUCAAAUGAAGCAGUUGAUACUGUUGAGGUGCUGCAACCAAGGACGGAUCCAACAUUUGUAUCAUGGAAAGGCGGUGCAGUAAGUCCAGCUCUCACCUCACUACUUUUUUUCAUUUUCCCAAUUCAUUAUGAUGGUUUAAAUCAUAUUGAUGGUGUAGAAGUUUUUCAUGGGCACAUAUCAGACAAAAUUCUCAACUCUAUACAAGGGUUAGAUGGGUAUCUUUCCUGCAAUUUUGACAUUCUCUGGGAUGCACCUGGCUUCACCUGGAGUAAAUGAUAUCAAUUUGGUUGCCAUUGCAUCUAAGGGUAUAUA